Long non-coding RNA from Fundulus heteroclitus (mummichog), 883 nucleotides. RefSeq lists it as uncharacterized. The transcript has 3 exons. The record is from RefSeq and is a predicted model, not a curated record. Lineage: Eukaryota; Metazoa; Chordata; Actinopteri; Cyprinodontiformes; Fundulidae.
GAAGAAACCACCAAAACAAUGCUAUGUUUGUUCUUUUAAUUUCGUGGACAAAAGACCGAUAGAAGAACACACGAUGCCAGAAAACUGGUCGGGCUACGAAGUUCCAUUAAAAUCUCCGUGGAGACAUCAAGAGGACAGCAAACACAGAUGACUGCCGCUGUGAUGCAGAGGCUGACUGGACCGCUCCGUAAUCAGUCACCUAUGCAGAAAGAUGCUGAUACUACAGGCACCGAAGGAUCACACCUAGGAGAAGAGAAGAACAGUGCAUGUGUACUCCUCUGGCAUACCAGAGUGUCUCUGACACAUGGAAGAACACAUAAUGUAUUUGCCAGCCACUCAUAUUUCACAUAUAUUACCUGUCCAGGUGUACCCUGCCUCUCGCCAUUGAAUGCUGGAGAUAGGCACCAGCACCCCUCGCUAUCCCAACAAGGAUAAGGGUGUAGGAAAAUGGAUGGUAAUAAAUUAGUACAAAAAGUCAUUCAAGUUUGGGUAAUGUUCUGUCAAAACACCACCUCUUCCUGUCUGUGGAUGUGAGCACACCAUUCUAUAACAGUCUAAUCUUGAAUGGCAAGUUGGAUAAGUACAUCAGGAAGAUAAGUAGAAAAAUAUGGACGGUUUAUAGUUGUCACUACAAACUAUCCAUAUUUUAUAUAAAUAUGAUGACACCAAGUACUGUAAUAUAAAUAAAAAAUAACUGUUCCUUUAACUUUGUUAAAAGGUGCAGUUUGCCGUGGCCAAAGGUCUGACUGGAUUGUCCUGAACAGAUGAGCUGUGCCGUCCCCAAAAGGCUGAAUGAUGGAUGUUUCCUGCACCACAAGAAUUAAACGGCCUACAAAUAUGCCAUAAGUGAAAUGUACUACAUUUAAUGUAAACAAAUUGCAUU